UUGAAAAUGAAAUAUUAUAUACUUAUUCCUCCUGUCUUUUGAGGUGGUAUGCGCAAUUACAUGCUAUGAGCCAUAUUUAGCCUAUACAUAUACUCUAUGGCUUAUAGCAUAUUCGGAUGGGUGUUCUAUACAAGAUUAAAAUACUCAAGAGUACGCAUGAAGGGUGGAGGAAGGAGCCUAUGGAGUUAUUAUUUAGUUAAUUUGGAUAAUAUGUAUGGUGGGACAAAAUGGUAUAACCUCUUAUGUUUGGGAGUUUGGAAGGGAUCAAUAAAGCAUUAAUAAGAAUGCAACUGGGCAGAUCUCAUGGCGGGAAGAAUGAUGAAGAUUGGUGGGAGAUUAUGGAGAGCUACUCUUUAGGGUAGGCAUCAUGAGGCUGUGGAAUUUAAAAGCACAAGGGGACAUUUCUACGAAAAUGCUUGAAUGCAUGUUUUUUGCUGAAUGCUGUUUCCUAUUUGUCUUUUAAUAUUUUUCACUCAAAAUGCAGCAAUCAUACAGAUUUGCAAUGGGGAAGGACAACUCUACUUGAGGUUCAUAGGAGGGAAGUUAAGGCCCUGUUUAUAUAAGUCGAAGCCUUGAUUUUUUUUCGUUCUUCUAACCUAUAUGGGCCUUGUUUCCUAAGAGUUGGUUGUGCUAACCUAUGAGAGUUGUUUCCUGAGGGUUCUUCUAAGUUCUAACCGAUAUUGGCUCCUGUAGGAUUUUCCCGGGAGUCAAAUAGGCCUACGAAGCUUUUAGAAGGUAGAGAAAGUGAAAUAGAGAAAGAGGGAGAGAAAUGGUGAAGUGAAGAAGUGGAAGAGAUGGGGAUUUGGAAGGAUAUAAGGAGAGAUAUAGGGGGAUGGACAGGGAAGUUCAAGAGAAGGAUUGGUGACACUGAGAGGUAGAGAGAGAGGCACAAAGGGGGAAAGAAGGAGAUGGAGAAGUGUCAAGGUCGAUUGUUUCAGACUGACUUUCAGCUCUAGCCUAUUGAUGAUUCAAGUUUAGUAAACUUGUUUAUUACUAGUUCAUUUGUCUUUAUUGAUUGCACUUCUAUAUCUUAUUCUAGUGCAUUCUCUCUUGUUAACGUGAUAUUGCGCCUCCAUGUGCAUACUUCUAGCAUAAGGUACCGGAUGUUCUUUGAGUCUUAUGGUCGACUGGUUGGCACAAUGCGAUGGCAUUGAUUAUUUUAAUUUUUGAUGUAAAUUCUCUUACUUGCAUUAACCAGGUGCUCUCUUGUACUGUCUUAUUGAUAUGUGCCUUGCCUCCAUAGAUAAUGAUGCUGUGUGUCACUAGGUUGUCUCUAGGUGCACAAGAAAUGAUCCCAAACCCUAUAUUGAGUUUGUUGUAAUUAAUCAGCAUGUGCUGUGAUUUUCAACAUAUGAUAGAGUAGAGUGAAUAGGUGGGCACCCACAGAAUAGUCCAAAUACAAUCGGUUUUGAUUGGAUGAUAGGAGACUAGAGUUGAUGAUCCGAACCGUUGAAUAUAAUCUGUCU
Molecule: long non-coding RNA, 1466 nt
Filed under: Phoenix dactylifera (date palm)
Lineage: Eukaryota; Viridiplantae; Streptophyta; Magnoliopsida; Arecales; Arecaceae
Description: long non-coding RNA (PDAC_LNC006925)
Source: RNAcentral